AAAAAUCAAAACUUGGAAUCAAGACAAUGAAUCAAAAUUAAACUAACUACGUUCUAACCUUUUCAUCCGAUUAAAAAAUCAAAAUUAAUACAUAAAAACUCUAACUUUCAAUCCAAUAAAAAAAUUAAAACUAAAAUCCUUAGAAAUUCUAACUUACCUUCUCUAGGAUUCCUCUAUGGUGGUGCGGCUGCUCCUCUCUUCCUUGCCCGACCUCUCUUUGUUCCCUCGAAAUAAUGUCUCCGUGUUCUCUCAAAAAAUUCUUUCUUACGUGGAUCUCUGCUCCCAAAGACUAGGUCCUCCU
This 301-nucleotide long non-coding RNA is filed under the name Vitis vinifera (wine grape). RNAcentral describes it as "long non-coding RNA (VVIN_LNC008107)". Lineage: Eukaryota; Viridiplantae; Streptophyta; Magnoliopsida; Vitales; Vitaceae. The record is from RNAcentral.